Molecule: long non-coding RNA, 1085 nt
Filed under: Equus asinus (donkey)
Lineage: Eukaryota; Metazoa; Chordata; Mammalia; Perissodactyla; Equidae
Description: lncRNA (ENSEASG00005033838.1)
Source: RNAcentral
GUUUUAACAAACGCACACACCCAUGUAACCACUCCAAUCAGGAUACAGAAAAUUUUCCUUCACUGCAGAAAGCGCUCUCGUCCACUUCUGCAGUGGCCUGCCCUCCUGCCCACUUCUCACCGCUAUCGCAGAGCAAAUCUUCUUAAAAUAACUUUGAUUGCAACCAAGGGUAUGCAUUAGUCAAGCUUUAUGGCAUUCAUCCAGCGAUCUCCAACGUAGCAUGGAUAGACUGGAGAGAAGCAGCAAGAAGAGGAGGACAAUGGUGGUGAAUUCUUGGUGCCCCAGCACCAUGUUUGGGAAGUCACCGAACUUGGGGUCAUCUGCGGCUGGCUGGUGUCAGAUGACCUCACUCACAUGUCUGGUGGUUCUGUUGCAAUGUGUCAGCUGGAGCAACGGGAGUAUCUUGGCUAUCUGAUUAUGAUCAUCCAACAGUCUAGCUGAGGCCUAUUCCUAUGGUGGCACUGGCAAGCAUUCCAAGACUCGGUAUAAAAAUAGACUUGGUCUCAUUUUCAAAUUCCAUUGGCCAAAAAAUUUGUAGGUAAGCCCAAAGUAAGAGUGGGUGGUGACCACGUGAGGGGGUGGAUACAAGAACAAGUGAAAAAUUGAGGACCAUUAUUUCUUUAAUCCACCACAGAUAAAAAGUGUGAACUCAAUUUUAAUAACAUAUGGAGGAAAAUGGAAUUAAAAAUUAAAGCAUCCAUUUGAAAAAUUAUUGCCUUUGAAUGAUAAAAUUGGCUCUAAGGGUGCAGCUUCUUUGAAUAACACCAUAGUUUUUUAUCAUAUCAUCCUAUAUUGUUAAGAGGUUACUCCUUCCCUAAGCAAGAUGUUUCUUUCCAUGUGGAAUAAGCUCCACUAGGAUAACACUCUUGGCCUUUCUACAGCCCCUCACCCGCUGCUCCUUAUGGGAGAAGGAAUGAAUUCUCUUUGAUAUGUUCAAGAAGAAUAUAUUGAGUGGCUCUUUUCUCUUACUCAUGGAGCUGAAGCUGCCUGAAGACAGCACAGGCUCUUUUCCACCAGGUAAAAGACCUGCCCAGUGUGACUGGGUAUAUGAGUCUGCUUAAUUCUCUAAUUUAACAUUAUGAAGA